RNAcentral lists this ribosomal RNA (495 nucleotides) under uncultured bacterium. Its description in RNAcentral is "partial 16S ribosomal RNA". It matches the Rfam family "Bacterial small subunit ribosomal RNA", at positions 28 to 507 of the family's 1533-position model. The record is from RNAcentral.
GACGAACGCUGGCGGCGUGCCUAAUACAUGCAGGUAGAACGCUGAAGGAGGAGCUUGCUCUUCUGGAUGAGUUGCGAACGGGUGAGUAACGCGUAGGUAACCUGCCUGGUAGCGGGGGAUAACUAUUGGAAACGAUAGCUAAUACCGCAUAAGAGUAGAUGUUGCAUGACAUUUACUUAAAAGGUGCAAUUGCAUCACUACCAGAUGGACCUGCGUUGUAUUAGCUAGUUGGUGGGGUAACGGCUUACCAAGGCGACGAUACAUAGCCGACCUGAGAGGGUGAUCGGCCACACUGGGACUGAGACACGGCCCAGACUCCUACGGGAGGCAGCAGUAGGGAAUCUUCGGCAAUGGACGGAAGUCUGACCGAGCAACGCCGCGUGAGUGAAGAAGGGUUUCGGAUCGUAAAGCUCUGUUGUAAGAGAAGAACGAGUGUGAGAGUGGAAAGUUCACACUGUGACGGUAUCUUACCAGAAAGGGACGGCUAACUACGUG